Molecule: ribosomal RNA, 253 nt
Filed under: uncultured bacterium
Lineage: Bacteria
Description: partial 16S ribosomal RNA
Rfam family: Bacterial small subunit ribosomal RNA
Source: RNAcentral
UACAGAGGUCUCAAGCGUUGUUCGGAAUUACUGGGCGUAAAGGGCGCGCAGGCCGCGCGGGCAGUCAAAUGUGUAAUCCAGGGGCUCAACCCCUGAACUGCGCUUGAUACUUCCGCGCUCGAGCUUUGGAGAGGAGUCUGGAAUUCUCGGUGUAGCAGUGAAAUGCGUGGAUAUCGAGAAGAACACUUAGGGCGUAGGCAAGACUCUGGACAAAUGCUGACGCUCAUGCACGAAAGCUAGGGUAGCGAACGGG